CGGAGCCCCCGGCACCCUGCGGCCGGGCGUCACCCACGCGUGGGGCGGGGGCGGCGGGACUCGGCCGGCAACAGCCGUCGAGGAAAUCGGGACCGAGGAGCGGCGGGGCGGCCGAGAUGAUAGCACAAAUCUCUAUCGGUGGAGCCUACAGCUGCAGACAAACCUUGAAGAAGGUCUCCUACAGCAGCAUGAAAGGCUGCUGACCAGAGGCCAUUAGAACAUGACUGGGAAGAGGAAGACUUGGCUGUGACUGGGCUGGUACCUUCACAGAAGGCCCUCGAACAACUGUUUAUUUCCAGAGUCUUCCCGGGUGGAUAUGACAGCCUGAAGUGCCCAGAUUUCAGACAGCCUAUUCCUUGUUAGCCCCCUGACCCACAGGAGUGGACAGCAGUCAAGGUGGUAAAAAGAAAACAAAAAGCACCUUCAAGCAAAGGUAUUAUACAUUACAUGGCAAUUAUCAUCUUGCCAUUUGAAGAAUCAUUACCACCUCCACUUUGCUGAAAGAAAAGCCAUGUAACUGAAGUCUACUUCGUGGCAAAUGAACAAGACUACAAGAGAAGCCUAUUUAAUUCUAUCUGUAAUUCUCUGAAACCAGUAUGAAGCUAUGAUUCAAGUUAACGUUGUUACCAUCGUCCCUAUCUGAGAAGAAACUGUUUCUGUCAAUACUUGAAUGUGAUGGGGAUGAGCAGGAGGAAGAUGUGAAGUCUAAUCUCAGCAGAUGGUUGUCAAAACUGCGCAGAGUGACUGAGAAUGUAGAAAGAAAUAAGAAGAGAGUUUCCCCCAUUUUGUCUUUAUGUCAUGAAUAGUGAAUAAAUCAUACAUUAUAGACAAAUCAAAAAUCGUAAAAACUAGGUAAAAUGAAAAUAAUGAAAACAGUUUUGUUGAAAUGUAUUUUGAAGAUAAAUGUAUGUGAUUACUCAUUGACCUUAAAUGAAUGUUGAUAUGACUGAAAACAGUAAAAAUGGAUAUAUGUGUUGUAUUCAUGCAUUGAUAGUCUCAUAUUGGAGAUAUUACAAGAAUGAUUCAUGUUGACAAGAAAGGAAGAAUGUCUUUCAAGCUGUUACUUAGUUACUGACAAAUCAAGUAUGUCAAUUGGACACUAGGAUGAGCAAAGCAGACUUGUAAAACAGAUAGAUUGCUAUAAGUUUCACUUCUGAUCAUAGCUGGAAAUCUGAAUGUUAACCCAAACUUUCUCUCCUUUUACAGACUUCUUAUUCAUUGAUCUAUACUCUGUGUCUUGAUUUGUGUUGGAAAAUCAUGGAUUAGAAAUGUACUUUCUUAUUUGAAAAAGUUUCUAGAUACAGACCUGUGCUAUUUAUUUUCUGUGUGGUUGGAAUGGACAGAACAAAAAUAGACAUUUGAACUAACGAAACAGGAUAUGUCUACAAGCCUUUUUGAAUAGUGUUUGAUUGCUUUACAAUAUUUUUCUCUGUAAAUGUGCAUAUAUUAUAUUUUGAUGCUCACACAUGCAAAAGUCAUUCCUUAAUGGAUUUUUUUAUAAACAGGCUAGGACUAUGUAAGUGACUUAGUGUCACUACAGAAUGUGUUUGUGGUUAUAGGGUUACUUAACCUCUCGCUUCAGCAGAAUUUAUCUGACUCACAGAAUAGAAGUACUGCAACAUGAAUUUCAAGUUAAGUGGGUGCCUUCGAAUGGUGUUAAAUCAAGGAUUUUCACUGACUCAUUAAUAAAUACACUUUACAUUAAGCACUGUUGUAUUAUAUUUAGUAUAUGUAAAAUACACAUAAUGUAAUUCUACAGUAAUUAUAAUAACAGUAAAGGAUAAAAUUACUUUAGAAACAGAUUAAACUGACUUUCUUCUGAGAUCAUUUGUAUCUGAAUUUCUGCUUUAAAGUGUAUGUUUUUUUUCUUUGUUUGUUUGUUUGUUUUUCAUUCCUUUUGCCAUUCUGAAAAACAGUGAAUUAGAUCUAGUCUGUUCCCAACAAUUUUCAAUUACUAUUGCCUCCUACUCAAAAAGUAAAGAAACUGCAAUUUUUUUAUAUAAGCAUUCUUGUUCAAAAGUCAUAGGUUAAUUUGAAUACUGAAAAUCUGUACACAGCCUUGGCAGCUUAACAGGUAUUUUGAGAACUUGUAAACUAAUUUAUACUAGAAAGAAUAAAAAUUACAAGGGUUACUAAUCUUCAUGCUGAAAUCAUUAAGAUAAUUACCACCAACUGUUUUAUUAUCCAAGUAUAUCAGGGGAAAUGUAGUUGCAUCCUGAAGCAAUGAAUGAAAAAAAGAGUAGGUAUGUAUCAAUCUACAAUUUAAAUGACGUACUGAAAAACAGAUAAUUGUGCAUGUGUCUUGUACUGGUACAUAACUUUCCUAUUAGUAAACUUAAAAGGUUUGUCUAUUAAGUGGAAUACUGUCUCUGCAAGAAUAUCUAUUAUUUCUUAAAACAUUGCCAUGUCAAGUCUCCUUUUCUGGUACUUUCCCCCCAUUGCAGUACUCCUGCAUCUAAUUUGAUUUACAAAUCUUCCUCAAGUCACAUAAAGCUAUUAUUCUUCUGGUGUUUUUUUUUUUUUUUUUUUU
Molecule: long non-coding RNA, 2530 nt
Organism: Gallus gallus (chicken)
Lineage: Eukaryota; Metazoa; Chordata; Aves; Galliformes; Phasianidae
Source: Ensembl